CUCUUAUCGAGAGCGGCAGAGGGACUAGGCCCUACGACGCCCGGCAACCAUCAAGCAUAGACUUGAAAAGGUGCUAAAUCCUACAGAUCCGGUGAUCUGAAAGAUAAGGG
This 110-nucleotide non-coding RNA is filed under the name Halobacillus sp. RNAcentral describes it as "SAM-I sequence". It matches the Rfam family "SAM riboswitch aptamer (S box leader)". Rfam says of the family: The SAM riboswitch is found upstream of a number of genes which code for proteins involved in methionine or cysteine biosynthesis in Gram-positive bacteria. The SAM riboswitch acts at the level of transcription termination control. The record is from RNAcentral. Lineage: Bacteria; Bacillati; Bacillota; Bacilli; Caryophanales; Bacillaceae. RNAcentral also lists the same sequence under 1 other name.